This 481-nucleotide long non-coding RNA is filed under the name Equus caballus (horse). RNAcentral describes it as "lncRNA (ENSECAG00000045394.1)". Lineage: Eukaryota; Metazoa; Chordata; Mammalia; Perissodactyla; Equidae. The record is from RNAcentral.
GGCCACGCGACAGGCAGGCGCUGGAGGGACCCACACAGCAAGGGAGGCUGUGUGACCCCGGCAGGCAGGUCCCCUCGCCUCUCCGUCAAGGGCCUGCCUAGGGGGCUGCGAGGAGACAUGAGAAACGAGAGCAAGGAUGAGCCGUAUGUGUUACCACGUGCCUGGCACACAGAGGAGCCCCAUAAAUAUUUGUUUAAUGAGUGCAUGCUGCCCACUUUGCCUCCAGGACAUUUUCCCAAUCUGCUGUCUCACCAGCAUCACUUAAGAACUUUCAUUCCCUGAACCCUCACUGGUACUUGUAACCUUUUAUAAGUACUUUCUUUAAUCUUUUCAUAAGCUUUUCCAAUCUAAUAGCUGGAAAUUUUAUCUCAAUUUGCAUGCUUUGAAAUUGAACAUUUUUCAGAGACGUAUUGGCAAUUUUAACUUCGUUUUCUGUAAUUUCUCUCCCAUGUCCUUUGCAAAUAUUUUGUUCUGUUGAUUU